UUUUGGAGGGCAAGUCUGGUGCCAGCAGCCGCGGUAAAUUCCAGCUCCAAUAGCGUAUAUUAAAGUUGUUGCAGUUAAAAAGCUCGUAGUUUGAAUUUCGGGAUCAAUUUGUCGGUCGUGCCUCGGUACGUACUGGCAUUAUUGGUUUCUACCUUSUGAAGAACCUUGAUGUCAUUAAUUUGGUGUCUUGGGGAAUCAGGACUGUUACUUUGAAAAAAUUAGAGUGUUUAAAGCAGGCAUACGCUUGAAUACAUUAGCAUGGAAUAAUGAAAUAGGACGUUUGAUUCUAUUUUGUUGGUUUCUAGGAUCGACGUAAUGAUUAAUAGGGAUAGUUGGGGGCAUUAGUAUUCAAUUGUCAGAGGUGAAAUUCUUGGAUUUAUUGAAGACUAACUACUGCGAAAGCAUUUGCCAAGGAUGUUUUCAUUAAUCAAGAACGAAAGUUAGGGGAUCGAAGACGAUCAGAUACCGUCGUAGUCUUAACCAUAAACUAUGCCGACUAGGGAUCGGAUGAUGUUAAUUUUUUAAUGACUWAUUCGGCGCCUUACGGGAAAC
RNAcentral lists this ribosomal RNA (552 nucleotides) under uncultured Glomeromycotina. Its description in RNAcentral is "SSU rRNA". It matches the Rfam family "Eukaryotic small subunit ribosomal RNA", at positions 548 to 1109 of the family's 1831-position model. Lineage: Eukaryota; Fungi; Glomeromycota. The record is from RNAcentral.